GUUCAUGUAUAUCAUCUGCAUUCUAGUAAUGUACAAAAAUGAGAAAUAGAUACUCCUUAAAGUGAUUACUCGAAAGAAACAAGGGAGGACAUUGAACAAGUUCUUGCAGUUGGUAUUGCAAAAGAUAAACUCACAAAUUGUCAUUAGAAUUUCAAGUUAGUCCUUUGGAAUUGGAUGCAUCAGUGUCUUUGGAAGAUUUCGAGUCUUCAGUUUUCUCCAUUGUUUGUUGGAUACCUUCUUGAUAUCCUUGUAUGAAACUUUUGAGUGCAUCUUUAUAUGCAGAAGCUCUUGUCAUGU
RNAcentral lists this unclassified non-coding RNA (297 nucleotides) under Hevea brasiliensis (rubber tree). Lineage: Eukaryota; Viridiplantae; Streptophyta; Magnoliopsida; Malpighiales; Euphorbiaceae. The record is from RNAcentral.